CAUUGCCAUGCCUAGUCUUAAACCGCCAGGCAUAACAGUUCGUAUCCGGGGCUUCCGGCACAAGAGGCGGCGGAGAUGGGUUGCGCAGCCGUUCUGGAGUUCUCAUGCCACCUAAUGAACUCCAUACUGCUUUACUCUUUCUAUCCCUUGGAAAAAGCCAAACAUUGCAUUACUGGAUUCUAUAAACCGCAGGGGAGCCUACUGCAUCUAAACAUAUUGCCGGAAGCAGUUUUGGCAAUGGAACCAAUCAUCAACUCCCGGUAUAUCCUCUACCUCUCCGAGAUCGGAAGA
Molecule: long non-coding RNA, 291 nt
Organism: Ipomoea nil (Japanese morning glory)
Lineage: Eukaryota; Viridiplantae; Streptophyta; Magnoliopsida; Solanales; Convolvulaceae
Exons: 3
Source: RefSeq, a predicted model, not a curated record